Molecule: small nuclear RNA, 107 nt
Filed under: Salvator merianae (Argentine black and white tegu)
Lineage: Eukaryota; Metazoa; Chordata; Lepidosauria; Squamata; Teiidae
Source: RNAcentral
GUGCUCACUUCUUGAGCACAUAAACUAAAAUUGGAACAACACAGAGAAGAUUAGCAUGGUCCCUGCUCAAGGAUGACACACAAAUUCGUGAAGCGUUCCAUAUUUUU